UGGUUAAAGCUACUAAGGGCGCGCGGUGGAUGCCUAGGCACUGGGGGCCGAUGAAGGACGUGGCUCGACUGCGAUAAGCCUCGGUUAGCUGUCUAGCAAGCUUAGCCGGGGAUCUCCGAAUGGGGUAACCCGUUCCGAUGAAUAAUCGGAUCACCCCGACUCUGUCGGGGAGGGAACCGGGGGAACUGAAACAUCUAAGUACCCCGAGGAAAAGAGACUAUUCCCUUAGUAGCGGCGAGCGAACGGGGAUCAGCCCAAACCCGUAGGGAAGGUAUCGGCGCACGGGCUAAUGCCCUGCGGGGGUUGUAAGACACAGGCCGGCCAAACCGUGUCGCGGCCGGGAAGUUACCAAGCCCUGCUCUAGCUGAAGGACCCUGGAAAGGGCCGCCACAGAGAGUGACAGCCUCGUAAGCUAAAGAGCACGGGCCUUCCUUGCCUGUGUCCUUGAGUACCACGGGACACGUGGAAUCCCGUGGGAACCCGGGAAGACCACUUUCCAAGGCUAAACACCCCCAGUGACCGAUAGUGCAACAGUACCGUGAGGGAAAGGUGAAAAAGCACCCCGGAAGGGGAGUUAAAAGUUCCUGAAACCGCGUGCCUACAAACCGUCGGAGUCCCGAUCUUGCAUCGUGGAUGACGGCGUGCCUAUUGAAGAAUGAGCCGGCGAGUGAAUCUUAGUGGCACGGUUAAGCAAGGAAGCUUGCGGAGCCAUAGCGAAAGCGAGUCCGAACAGGGCGCCCUAGAUGUCGCUGGGAUUCGACCCGAAACCGGGUGAGCUACCCAUGGCCAGGGUGAAGCCUCGAUAAUAUCGAGGUGGAGGCCCGAACCAUUUGUCGGUGCAAAGACACUGGAUGAGCUGUGGGUAGAGGUGAAAUGCCAAUCGAACUCGGAGAUAGCUGGUUCUCCCCGAAAUGCAUUGAGGUGCAGCCUCAGGAUCCGUCUUCUGGAGGUAGGGCACUGAAUGGGCUAGGGGGCAAAACGCUUACCAAACCCAAUCAAACCACGAAUGCCAGAAGAUAAACCUGGGAGUGAGCCCGUGGGGGAUAAACUUCACGGACGAAAGGGAAACAACCCAGACCACCGGCUAAGGUCCCCAAGUGUGCGCUAAGUGGGAAAGGAUGUGGGACAGCCCAGACAGCCAGGAGGUUGGCUUAGAAGCAGCCACCCUUUAAAGAGUGCGUAACAGCUCACUGGUCGAUGCCAUCCCGCGCCGAAAAUGUAACGGGGCUCAAGCGUACCACCGAAGCCUUGGUCCUUCCGCGCAAGCGGGAGGAGGUAGGGGAGCGUUCCGUCCUGCCGUGAAGCCGCGCCGUGAGACGCGGUGGAGUGGACGGAAGUGAGAAUGCCGGCAUGAGUAGCAAAAGGCGAGUGAGAAUCUCGCCCACCGAAUGCCUAAGGUUUCCUACGGAAGGAUUUUCCGCGUAGGGUUAGGCGGGCCUAAGGCUAAGGCGUAAAGCCGAUGCCGAUGGACAGACGGUUAUUAUUCCGUCCCCGCCUGUGUGACGUUACGAGACGGAGGGGGGACCCAGGAGGGUAGGCUGAGCGGGCCCAUUGGACAUGGUCCGUCCUUGGUCUGUAGGCGUCCGGGCAGAGGCAAAUCCCUGCCCGGGUUAAGCUAAGGGAUUGAGGGGCAGCAGAGACUUCGGUCAAAGCGACUCGGCUGAGCCCACGCUGGCCAGAAAAGCCUCGCCGUCCAGUCACCCAGGCGCCCGUACCGCAAUCCGACACAGGUAGGCUGGGGUUAGCGCCCUCAGGUGGUCGAGUGACCCCCCGUUAAGGAACUCGGCAAUUUGGCCUCGUAACUUCGGGAGAAGAGGUGCCUCUGUUCGUAACCAGACUCGCUCUGGAAGCGAACGGGGGUCGCAGCGAAGCGGCCCAAACGACUGUUUAACAAAAACACAGGUCUCUGCCAAAGCGAAAGCUGAGGUAUAGGGGCUGACACCUGCCCGGUGCCGGAAGGUUAAGGGGAGGGCUGAUGAGGCCCGAACCGAAGCCCCGGUGAACGGCGGCCGUAACUAUAACGGUCCUAAGGUAGCGAAAUUCCUUGUCGGGUAAGUUCCGACCCGCACGAAAGGUGUCACGAGUUGGGCACUGUCUCAACGGGGGGCUCGGCGAAAUUGCAGGACCAGUGAAGAUGCUGGUUACCCGCUGCAGGACAAAAAGACCCCGUGGAGCUUUACUGUAGCUUGGCGUUGAAGGCGGGCCUGGGAUGCGUAGGAUAGGUGGGAGGCUGCGAACUCCGGUCUCCGGAUCGGAGGGAGCCAACCUUGAAAUACCACUCUUCCCAAGUCUUCCUCCUAACCCUGCAUAGGCAGGAGACAGCGCCUGGUGGGCAGUUUGACUGGGGCGGUCGCCUCCCAAAAGGUAACGGAGGCGCCCAAAGGUCCCCUCAGGCUGGAUGGAAAUCAGCCGUCGAGCGCAUUGGUAUAAGGGGGCUUGACUGUGAGGCCUACAAGCCGAACAGGGACGAAAGUCGGGCAAAGUGACCCUACGGUUCCGUGUGGAAGGGCCGUGGAUUAACGGAUAAAAGCUACCCCGGGGAUAACAGGCUGAUCUCUCCCAAGCGUUCACAGCGACGGGGAGGUUUGGCACCUCGAUGUCGGCUCGUCGCAUCCUGGGGCUGGAGUAGGUCCCAAGGGUUGGGCUGUUCGCCCAUUAAAGCGGCACGCGAGCUGGGUUCAGAACGUCGUGAGACAGUUCGGUCUCUAUCCGCAGUGGGCGCAGGAGACUUGCGAGGAGCUGCCCCUAGUACGAGAGGACUGGGGUGGACGGACCUCUGGUGUGCGGGUUGUUCCGCCAGGAGCAAAAAGCCCGGUAGCUAUGUCCGGACGGGAUAAGCGCUGAAAGCAUCUAAGCGCGAAACCCUCCUCAAGAUGAGGUCUCCCAUCCGCAAGGAGUAAGGUCGCGGGAAGACUACCCGCUUGAUAGGCGGCAUGUGUAAGUCCGGUAACGGAUUCAGCUGAGCCGUACUAAUGACCGAGGGCUUGACCACCA
RNAcentral lists this ribosomal RNA (2994 nucleotides) under Chloroflexota bacterium. RNAcentral's name for it is "Chloroflexi bacterium 23S ribosomal RNA". It matches the Rfam family "Bacterial large subunit ribosomal RNA". The record is from RNAcentral. Lineage: Bacteria; Bacillati; Chloroflexota.